CAGCCAGCCAAUUAAGCUGCUUAUCUGAAUGCAUUUCCACAGAAAUUUAGAAAUAGCUCACAAUAGUGAUGCCAUUUUAUGAGCUUUAAAGAACAUGGAGAUUGUUACAGUCCUUCAAUAUGGCUAAAAUA
Molecule: small nucleolar RNA, 131 nt
Organism: Jaculus jaculus (lesser Egyptian jerboa)
Lineage: Eukaryota; Metazoa; Chordata; Mammalia; Rodentia; Dipodidae
Source: Ensembl